Molecule: ribosomal RNA, 253 nt
Filed under: uncultured bacterium
Lineage: Bacteria
Description: partial 16S ribosomal RNA
Rfam family: Bacterial small subunit ribosomal RNA
Source: RNAcentral
UACGUAGGGUGAGAGCGUUAAUCGGAAUUACUGGGUGUAAAGCGUGCGCAGGCGGCUUUGUAAGACGGAUGUGAAAUCCCUGGGCUUAACCUAGGAACUGCGUUCGUGACUGCAAAGCUAGAGUGCGGCAGAGGGGGGUGGAAUUCCUGGUGUAGCAGUGAAAUGCGUAGAGAUCAGGAGGAACACCGAUGGCGAAGGCAGCCCCCUGGGUUGACACUGACGCUCAUGCAAGAAAGCGUGGGGAGCAAACAGG